AGAGCGAACGCUGGCGGCAGGCCUAACACAUGCAAGUCGAGCGCCCCGCAAGGGGAGCGGCAGACGGGAGAGUAACACGUGGGAACGUACCCUUCAGUUCGGAACAACCCAGGGAAACUUGGGCUAAUACCGGAUACGUCCGUAAGGAGAAAGAUUUAUCGCUGAAGGAUCGGCCCGCGUCUGAUUAGCUUGUUGGUGAGGUAACGGCUCACCAAGGCUACGAUCAGUAGCUGGUCUGAGAGGAUGAUCAGCCUCACUGGGACUGAGACACGGCCCAGACUCCUACGGGAGGCAGCAGUGGGGAAUAUGGACAAUGGCGCAAGCCUGAUCCAGCCAUGCCGCGUGGGUGAUGAAGGCCCUAGGGUUGUAAAGCCCUUUCGGCGGGAAGAUAAUGACGGUACCGCAGAAGAAGCCCGGCUAACUUCGCGCCAGCAGCCGC
RNAcentral lists this ribosomal RNA (439 nucleotides) under uncultured bacterium. RNAcentral describes it as "SSU rRNA". It matches the Rfam family "Bacterial small subunit ribosomal RNA", at positions 26 to 518 of the family's 1533-position model. The record is from RNAcentral.